This is a non-coding RNA of Anas platyrhynchos (mallard), 610 nucleotides long. The record is from RefSeq and is a predicted model, not a curated record. NCBI's taxonomy places the organism in Eukaryota, Metazoa, Chordata, Aves, Anseriformes, Anatidae.
GAAAAAAUUUGGGAAGGCAAGAUGACGCGCUAUCCGUCUUAGUCGCUCCGGAGGACACGUGAUCCAAAGUAGAUAUUGUCAUAUAUCAGUUUGGAGCACUUAGAUGCGUAGGAGUGGUUCACUUAGCUACUAGCACCUAGAUGUAUUUCCCUCAGAAAACCAUUGAUCAAAGGGGAAUCUCAACAGUUCCCGGGGAUCAACUUCAAUAGUUCGCAAUUGCGGGCGCGGCGGCGCUGGGCUCUCUCUUCCAUACCCGCAUUAAUCAGAAUAAAAUGAAGCAAAAUCCUUCAGCUGCUCCGCGGGGCGACGUUUUCCAAAGGCAGAUCUCGGUUGCAGAAGAUAAGUGCUGCCGGCAGAAGAAAGCAAGGUGUCCCCUCCCCAGUUUGGCUUUUUUGGAGGCUCGCGGUGAAACCAGCUCCGGAUGAAGCCGGAGGAGGAAGGGAGACAGAGGAAGAGCAGCACGCCUUACUGCGAGGCAAGAGGUGCCAAAUGACCCGGUUUCAUCCUCAAAAAGGGGAUUGCGAGAAAAUUGAGAGCGGGAGGCAAAAGAUUUUUGACCGGCCGCCUUGAAUUUUCUGUGUUGCUUGUGAUUAAACUUUGCUUAAAGAGG